RNAcentral lists this ribosomal RNA (1120 nucleotides) under Escherichia coli. RNAcentral describes it as "partial 23S ribosomal RNA". It matches the Rfam family "Bacterial large subunit ribosomal RNA", at positions 165 to 1324 of the family's 2925-position model. The record is from RNAcentral. Lineage: Bacteria; Pseudomonadati; Pseudomonadota; Gammaproteobacteria; Enterobacterales; Enterobacteriaceae.
CAUAGGUUAAUGAGGCGAACCGGGGGAACUGAAACAUCUAAGUACCCCGAGGAAAAGAAAUCAACCGAGAUUCCCCCAGUAGCGGCGAGCGAACGGGGAGCAGCCCAGAGCCUGAAUCAGUGUGUGUGUUAGUGGAAGCGUCUGGAAAGGCGCGCGAUACAGGGUGACAGCCCCGUACACAAAAAUGCACAUGCUGUGAGCUCGAUGAGUAGGGCGGGACACGUGGUAUCCUGUCUGAAUAUGGGGGGACCAUCCUCCAAGGCUAAAUACUCCUGACUGACCGAUAGUGAACCAGUACCGUGAGGGAAAGGCGAAAAGAACCCCGGCGAGGGGAGUGAAAAAGAACCUGAAACCGUGUACGUACAAGCAGUGGGAGCACGCUUAGGCGUGUGACUGCGUACCUUUUGUAUAAUGGGUCAGCGACUUAUAUUCUGUAGCAAGGUUAACCGAAUAGGGGAGCCGAAGGGAAACCGAGUCUUAACUGGGCGUUAAGUUGCAGGGUAUAGACCCGAAACCCGGUGAUCUAGCCAUGGGCAGGUUGAAGGUUGGGUAACACUAACUGGAGGACCGAACCGACUAAUGUUGAAAAAUUAGCGGAUGACUUGUGGCUGGGGGUGAAAGGCCAAUCAAACCGGGAGAUAGCUGGUUCUCCCCGAAAGCUAUUUAGGUAGCGCCUCGUGAAUUCAUCUCCGGGGGUAGAGCACUGUUUCGGCAAGGGGGUCAUCCCGACUUACCAACCCGAUGCAAACUGCGAAUACCGGAGAAUGUUAUCACGGGAGACACACGGCGGGUGCUAACGUCCGUCGUGAAGAGGGAAACAACCCAGACCGCCAGCUAAGGUCCCAAAGUCAUGGUUAAGUGGGAAACGAUGUGGGAAGGCCCAGACAGCCAGGAUGUUGGCUUAGAAGCAGCCAUCAUUUAAAGAAAGCGUAAUAGCUCACUGGUCGAGUCGGCCUGCGCGGAAGAUGUAACGGGGCUAAACCAUGCACCGAAGCUGCGGCAGCGACACUAUGUGUUGUUGGGUAGGGGAGCGUUCUGUAAGCCUGUGAAGGUGUACUGUGAGGUAUGCUGGAGGUAUCAGAAGUGCGAAUGCUGACAUAAGUAACGAUAAAGCGGGUGA